Sorex fumeus (smoky shrew) is the source of this 263-nucleotide non-coding RNA. NCBI's taxonomy places the organism in Eukaryota, Metazoa, Chordata, Mammalia, Eulipotyphla, Soricidae. The record is from RefSeq and is a predicted model, not a curated record.
UUGCUUUACUAUGACUAUGGUCUGAGUUGGUGUACCCUAGAACACACUAGACUUGCAGAAAAAGCAUCAUCCUCUUGAGACAUGACUGCCGCAGCACCAGCAGUUUAUGCGCAGUUUUCCUCUGAUAGUUCCUGGCACAGUUGCCACAGCAAUAGUGACUGGAUAGUGUCAUUAUCUCCUGUAACAGUAAGAGAAGCUCCACAACUGGGAUAUUGUUUAACUGACAGAGAGAUUUCUGCUGGACACUAAGUACUACUACAAGU